This 107-nucleotide small nucleolar RNA is filed under the name Cervus elaphus hippelaphus. It matches the Rfam family "Small nucleolar RNA U13". The record is from RNAcentral. Lineage: Eukaryota; Metazoa; Chordata; Mammalia; Artiodactyla; Cervidae.
GAUCCUUUUGUAGUUCAUGAGCGUGACGAUUGGGUGUUCACGCUGCUGCAUGACAUGUGCCUCCUUCCAAACCUUUUUAUGACACCGGCACGUUACCCAUCUGACGU